GGGGUUGUGGCUCAGUGGUAGAGUGCUAGCCUAACAUGCUUGAGGACUGGGUUCAAUCCUU
Molecule: transfer RNA, 61 nt
Filed under: Ictidomys tridecemlineatus (thirteen-lined ground squirrel)
Lineage: Eukaryota; Metazoa; Chordata; Mammalia; Rodentia; Sciuridae
Description: Spermophilus tridecemlineatus (thirteen-lined ground squirrel) tRNA
Rfam family: tRNA
About the family: Transfer RNA (tRNA) molecules are approximately 80 nucleotides in length.
Source: Rfam by way of RNAcentral